Molecule: ribosomal RNA, 1343 nt
Filed under: uncultured bacterium
Lineage: Bacteria
Description: 16S ribosomal RNA
Rfam family: Bacterial small subunit ribosomal RNA
Source: RNAcentral
GACGAACGCUGGCGGCGUGCUUAACACAUGCAAGUCGAACGGAAAGGCCCUGCUUUUGUGGGGUGCUCGAGUGGCGAACGGGUGAGUAACACGUGAGUAACCUGCCCUUGACUUUGGGAUAACUUCAGGAAACUGGGGCUAAUACCGGAUAGGAGCUCCUGCUGCAUGGUGGGGGUUGGAAAGUUUCGGCGGUUGGGGAUGGACUCGCGGCUUAUCAGCUUGUUGGUGGGGUAGUGGCUUACCAAGGCUUUGACGGGUAGCCGGCCUGAGAGGGUGACCGGCCACAUUGGGACUGAGAUACGGCCCAGACUCCUACGGGGGGCAGCAGUGGGGAAUAUUGCACAAUGGGCGGAAGCCUGAUGCAGCAACGCCGCGUGCGGGAUGACGGCCUUCGGGUUGUAAACCGCUUUCGCCUGUGACGAAGCGUGAGUGACGGUAAUGGGUAAAGAAGCACCGGCUAACUACGUGCCAGCAGCCGCGGUGAUACGUAGGGUGCGAGCGUUGUCCGGAUUUAUUGGGCGUAAAGGGCUCGUAGGUGGUUGAUCGCGUCGGAAGUGUAAUCUUGGGGCUUAACCCUGAGCGUGCUUUCGAUACGGGUUGACUUGAGGAAGGUAGGGGAGAAUGGAAUUCCUGGUGGAGCGGUGGAAUGCGCAGAUAUCAGGAGGAACACCAGUGGCGAAGGCGGUUCUCUGGGCCUUUCCUGACGCUGAGGAGCGAAAGCGUGGGGAGCGAACAGGCUUAGAUACCCUGGUAGUCCACGCUGUAAACGGUGGGUACUAGGUGUGGGGUCCAUUCCACGGGUUCCGUGCCGUAGCUAACGCUUUAAGUACCCCGCCUGGGGAGUACGGCCGCAAGGCUAAAACUCAAAGGAAUUGACGGGGCCCCGCACAAGCGGCGGAGCAUGCGGAUUAAUUCGAUGCAACGCGUAGAACCUUACCUGGGUUUGACAUGGAUCGGGAGCGCUCAGAGAUGGGUGUGCCUCUUUUGGGGUCGGUUCACAGGUGGUGCAUGGCUGUCGUCAGCUCGUGUCGUGAGAUGUUGGGUUAAGUCCCGCAACGAGCGCAACCCUUGUUCACUGUUGCCAGCACGUUAUGGUGGGGACUCAGUGGAGACCGCCGGGGUCAACUCGGAGGAAGGUGGGGAUGACGUCAAGUCAUCAUGCCCCUUAUGUCCAGGGCUUCACGCAUGCUACAAUGGCUGGUACAGAGAGUGGCGAGCCUGUGAGGGUGAGCGAAUCUCGGAAAGCCGGUCUCAGUUCGGAUUGGGGUCUGCAACUCGACCUCAUGAAGUCGGAGUCGCUAGUAAUCGCAGAUCAGCAACGCUGCGGUGAAUACGUUCCCGGG